CUUAAUCAAAGUGUAGUAUCUGUUCUUUUCAGCUUAAUAUCUGAAAGUUUCCUCAUUGAGGGACCAGUAUAUUAAACUGAUUUUUGUAAAACGACGAGAUGUUCGGGGCUCGCUCCACUCUCGUCACGGGUCGGCCCGGCAUUGCAGUGCC
RNAcentral lists this small nuclear RNA (151 nucleotides) under Bombyx mori (domestic silkworm). It matches the Rfam family "U2 spliceosomal RNA", at positions 21 to 171 of the family's 192-position model. Rfam says of the family: U2 is a small nuclear RNA (snRNA) component of the spliceosome (involved in pre-mRNA splicing). Complementary binding between U2 snRNA (in an area lying towards the 5' end but 3' to hairpin I) and the branchpoint sequence (BPS) of the intron results the bulging out of an unpaired adenosine, on the BPS, which initiates a nucleophilic attack at the intronic 5' splice site, thus starting the first of two transesterification reactions that mediate splicing. The record is from RNAcentral. Lineage: Eukaryota; Metazoa; Arthropoda; Insecta; Lepidoptera; Bombycidae.